GCACGAGAAAGUGGAGCAAUCCAUGAGUACAGUGGCGUACGGGUGAGUAACACGUGGAUCAUCUACCUUUUAGUGGGGAAUACCCCCGGGAAACUGGGGAUAAUACCGCAUAAGCUCGUAAGAGGAAAGCAGCAAUGCGCUGAAAGAGGAGUCCGCGGCUGAUUAGCUAGUUGGUGAGGUAAUGGCUCACCAAGGCGAAGAUCGGUAGCCGGCCUGAGAGGGCACACGGCCACACUGGCACUGAAACACGGGCCAGACUCCUACGGGAGGCAGCAGUGGGGAAUCUUGCACAAUGGAGGAAACUCUGAUGCAGCGACGCCGCGUGAGCGAUGAAGCCCUUCGGGGUGUAAAGCUCUUUCGACGGGAACGAUAAUGACGGUACCCGAAGAAGAAGCUGCGGCUAACUACGUGCCAGCAGCCGCGGUAAUACGUAGGCAGCAAGCGUUGUUCGGAAUUACUGGGCGUAAAGAGUGUGUAGGCGGUGCUCUAAGUCUGUUGUGAAAUCUCCCGGCUUAACCGGGAGGGUGCGGCGGAAACUGGAGUGCUUGAGGGUGGGAGAGGUAAGCGGAAUUCCUGGUGUAGCGGUGAAAUGCGUAGAUAUCAGGAGGAACACCUGUGGUGUAGACAGCUUACUGGACCACUUCUGACGCUGAGACACGAAAGCGUGGGUAGCAAACAGGAUUAGAUACCCUGGUAGUCCACGCCCUAAACGAUGCAUACUUGGGUGUGAGCGAUUCAUUUCGUUCGUGCCGGAGCUAACG
This 761-nucleotide ribosomal RNA is filed under the name uncultured bacterium. Its description in RNAcentral is "bacterial SSU rRNA". It matches the Rfam family "Bacterial small subunit ribosomal RNA", at positions 64 to 857 of the family's 1533-position model. The record is from RNAcentral.